ACGCUAGCUACAGGCUUAACACAUGCAAGUCGAGGGCAGCGGGUUGAAAGCUUGCUUUCAAUGCCGGCGACCGGCGCACGGGUGCGUAACGCGUAUCAAACCUGCCUCAUACUCGGGGAUAGCCCUGCGAAAGUAAGAUUAAUACCCGAUGUUGUUGCUUUCUCGCAUGGGAGAGUAACCAAAGAUUUAUCGGUAUGAGAUGGUGAUGCGUCCGAUUAGGUAGUAGGCGGGGUAACGGCCCACCUAGCCUUCGAUCGGUAGGGGUUCUGAGAGGAAGGUCCCCCACACUGGAACUGAGACACGGUCCAGACUCCUACGGGAGGCAGCAGUGAGGAAUAUUGGUCAAUGGGCGAGAGCCUGAACCAGCCAAGUAGCGUGCAGGAUGACGGCCCUCCGGGUUGUAAACUGCUUUUAGUUGGGAAUAAAAAAAGGGACUUGUCCCUUCUUGUAUGUACCUUCAGAAAAAGGACCGGCUAAUUCCGUGCCAGCAGCCGCGGUAAUACGGAAGGUCCAGGCGUUAUCCGGAUUUAUUGGGUUUAAAGGGAGCGUAGGCGGAUUGUUAAGUCAGCGGUUAAAGGGUGUGGCUCAACCAUGCAUUGCCGUUGAAACUGGCGAUCUUGAGUGCAGACAGGGAUGCCGGAAUUCGUGGUGUAGCGGUGAAAUGCUUAGAUAUCACGAAGAACUCCGAUCGCGAAGGCAGGUGUCCGGGCUGCAACUGACGCUGAGGCUCGAAAGUGUGGGUAUCAAACAGGAUUAAAUACCCUGGUAGUCCACACAGUAAACGAUGUAUACUCGCGGUUUGCGAUAGACAGUAAGCCGCCAAGCGAAAGCAUUAAGUAUACCACCUGGGGAGUACGCCGGCAACGGUGAAACUCAAAGGAAUUGACGGGGGCCCGCACAAGCGGAG
This 907-nucleotide ribosomal RNA is filed under the name uncultured bacterium. Its description in RNAcentral is "bacterial SSU rRNA". It matches the Rfam family "Bacterial small subunit ribosomal RNA", at positions 33 to 934 of the family's 1533-position model. The record is from RNAcentral.